RNAcentral lists this ribosomal RNA (424 nucleotides) under uncultured bacterium. Its description in RNAcentral is "partial 16S ribosomal RNA". It matches the Rfam family "Bacterial small subunit ribosomal RNA", at positions 360 to 776 of the family's 1533-position model. The record is from RNAcentral.
AAUUUUGGACAAUGGGGGAAACCCUGAUCCAGCCAUCCCGCGUGUAUGAUGAAGGCCUUCGGGUUGUAAAGUACUUUUGGCAGAGAAGAAAAGGUAUCCCCUAAUACGGGAUACUGCUGACGGUAUCUGCAGAAUACGCAAGGGCUAACUACGUGGCAGCAGCCGCGGUAAUCCGUAGGGUGCAAGCGGUAAUCGGAAUUACGGGGCGUAAAACGUGUGUAGGCGGUUCUGAAAAAAAGAAGUGAAAUCCCAGCGCUCAACCUUGGAACUGCAUUUUUAACUGCCGAGCUAGAGUAUGUCAGAGGGGGGUAGAAUUCCACGUGUAGCAGUGAAAUGCGUAGAUAUGUGGAGGAAUACCGAUGGCGAAGGCAGCCCCCUGGGAUAAUACUGACGCUCAGACACGAAAGCGUGGGGAGCAAACAGG